Rhagoletis zephyria (snowberry fruit fly) is the source of this 2240-nucleotide long non-coding RNA. RefSeq lists it as uncharacterized. Lineage: Eukaryota; Metazoa; Arthropoda; Insecta; Diptera; Tephritidae. The record is from RefSeq and is a predicted model, not a curated record.
CAAUGUUUAUGUUUUCUUGUAUAAAAUAGUUUCCCAAGAAUUUGUCAUGAAAGAGGAGUUAAAAAAAAAUUAGAUCCUGCAGGAUGCCUCUGCUAAUAUUCAUAUACAUACGUAUGUGUGUCGCUAAUGUAAUACGUGUACGUGAACGUUCAUGCAAAUUAUGUGAGUAAAAUGACAAAGUUGUACUUCUUCGAUUUAAAAAAAAAAAAACCGAUUCGACAUGAAUUAUGUGAAAUACAUCAAAAAAGCUUAAGGCUUUGAAAAUUUGUAUGCUUUAACUAUUCGUAUUUUAAGUAAUUUUUUAAAUCAAAUUUUUUUGAUCAAACUUUGUUUUUGAGUAACUCAAAAUAAUUCACUCCAUUUGGAAAAUUGACUAAGUAGAAAAGUUAUAAUUUUUAACUAUUCGGAUUUUAAGUAAUUUUUUGUUUUAAUCAAAUUUUUGAUCAAACAUUUUCUUUUUGACUAACUGAAAAUAAUUCAGUCGAUUUGGAAAAUUGACUAAGUAGAAAAGCUAUAAUUUUAUCAAUGUUUCGAAUGCUUUAACGGCCUUUGGCAUACUUUCCGUGGUACUACUUUUUUUUUUUUUAACUAAAUGCGCAACCAUAAAAUAGACACACUCAAAUAAAACGUUUCACUUUUUAUAUACGAACAUUAAACUUAGCGAACUUUUAUAUACAGAACAUAGAAUGCAUAAAUAUCCACAUACAUACAUACAUACUGCAAACAUAAGAAAAGUAUGAACUUAAAUGUGCCAUAGAAUAAAGUGCUUCAAACAGUUGCUAAUUUAAAUACAUAUUCAUAAAUAAUUUAACGUUUCUUAAUACACCUAUACAAAGCUAUGUAUUUACAUACAAACUUGCGAAAACAUAUGUACAUGCGCAUACAUACAAAUUUGCAAUUCAAUAUUAACUACAAAUAAAUUUUUGUCUUGUCCUAGAAAGCAUAAAAAUAUACUGAGAGACAGCUGAAAAUGUUAUGAAGUGUUUUCACACACGCCAAAUUACGCAAUUCGGACACUACAUUUACUCAAUUUCCACUGCAAACGCGAUACGUAUCUUAAUUUGUGUAAAAUUGAAAGUAGAAUUUAUGGCAGAUAAACAGAACAAAAGAAAUAUGUAGUUUAGAACAAAAAAAUAUGUAUAUAUUCGUUCAGAGUCGAAAUUGCGUAAUUUGAGGAUAGUGGAAACACACUGUUAAAGUUUCGGAAAAGUUCAAGGAAUUUAUAGGCUUUUACAACAUCCGCUAAAAAACGCUCGUUUGUACUGUACAAGACUGUCCAAAAGUUUUGCCUUCGUUGCUAUUAUUCCGGAAAAAUGCUCAAAGCACACCAUCUUCUACACAAGUGUACAUACAUACAUGUAUCGCCAGCGAUUUUUUUUUUUUGAAAAUUGAGGCUUACUAAUGCUCAUGGAAUUAAUAUUAAAACAUAAUGUGCACUUCUCAUACAAAAAGCGAGCACGUGAAAAAAGUAUCUAAAAAUUCGUAUACGAAAAGCACAAAAACUUAGUUACACUUGACUUUUUCCUAUAUACAGUAAGUGUGAUCGAGGUGUAAAGUGGAGUAUAGAACUUGCGCCUUUGGAAGCGUUUAAGUGUCAACCGAAUACAUACAAACUUACAUACAUACGCACAGUAGAACUUUAAAUGUUGUACACAUAUUUAGUCUCUAAGCUGCUAAUGAAAAUUUGAAACAGGCUCACUCACAAUCAGUGUUCAAAAUAAAUAAAUUGUUCCUUUUGUGUGUGGUGUACAUACUAUUUAGAUAUUUAAAUGUAGAAAGAAGUACAUUAAGCGCAACAAAAUGCCAACAACAAAUAAAACUCACAUCAAAAAGGCUUUAAAAGAAAAUUACGCACGAAAAUAUGUAGUUGAAAUUUGUUUGUAGUUAAAAUCGUUGCAUACUUUAGGGGUGUGAAUAAAAAGCACAUUCUUUUUUACUGCAGAAACCAAACACAAAAAAAUACAAAAUUUUGGAAAACUACUUUAUUGCGCGUAAACAAUGGAUUGCAGAAGAAAAUUUAAUACACUUGCGGCGUUGCGACGCAAAAAAAAGCUGUUUUUUUUUUAAAUAGUAGAAUCAUAUCUCCACAAUCAGAGAGUUACUCGGCCAAAUCAGUGAUUUAUGGAAAUUUUUGAAGCUCAAACAAAAAGUUUGCACGUGAGCAUACAAAAAUGGGGAAUAAGCUUUUAAAAGUAUGUAAUACACAAAACAUAAAAUUUGAAAGAUGCGCAAUGCAAAGG